Conger conger (European conger) is the source of this 555-nucleotide long non-coding RNA. RefSeq lists it as uncharacterized. NCBI's taxonomy places the organism in Eukaryota, Metazoa, Chordata, Actinopteri, Anguilliformes, Congridae. The record is from RefSeq and is a predicted model, not a curated record. The transcript has 3 exons.
UUGAUGGCCCACUAGUUUUCCCCGGAGCCGCCGGGUGUUGUGUGGAAGACUCCUGACAUCGACACUGGAGCCGCCACCUGUGCAGCGGAGCGCGCGACGUAUCCAUAACGACCCCCGCCAAAACGCCAGGUGCGGGCCGACUGAAGAGCUGUCCUGUCUGCUGCGCAUGCGCCUUCCCUCUGCUAUGGGCCGUGGUUGCAUGUUUGCCUCCGCUGUUGCCUUAAAAAGAAGAAGUUUUGUUUAUUGUUAUUUAAGGAGCUCCAUGAACGUUUCCCCAGAGCGUAGAGGAUGAUGACUAUGCCGAAGAGGCGGAGGAAAAAGUACAGGCUAAGCGUUGUGCCAACCCGACUCUUUAACAUGCAACAGCAAAACCCAACUCAUUUUCAUCACACUGCCUGUGACUCCGCGAGGUGGACUGAAAACAAAUCACUAUGGGUAAAAAACAAGCAUCAAGUUCAUCAACAGCAGUGGAGAAUGCAAUGGCGUUUCAUAAAAAGGUAGUCUUCUGAAGUAAGAGCGUUUUGUGAAUGAAGGUGAUAAAUCACAAAAGACCAA